Molecule: ribosomal RNA, 748 nt
Filed under: uncultured Ruminococcus sp.
Lineage: Bacteria; Bacillati; Bacillota; Clostridia; Eubacteriales; Oscillospiraceae
Description: bacterial SSU rRNA
Rfam family: Bacterial small subunit ribosomal RNA
Source: RNAcentral
GAUGAACGCUGGCGGCGUGCCUAACACAUGCAAGUCGAGCGAAGCACUUUGCUUAGAUUCUUCGGAUGAAGAGGAUUGUGACUGAGCGGCGGACGGGUGAGUAACGCGUGGGUAACCUGCCUCAUACAGGGGGAUAACAGUUAGACAUGACUGCUAAUACCGCAUAAGACCACAGCACCGCAUGGUGCGGGGGUAAAAACUCCGGUGGUAUGAGAUGGACCCGCGUCUGAUUAGCUAGUUGGUAAGGUAACGGCUUACCAAGGCGACGAUCAGUAGCCGACCUGAGAGGGUGACCGGCCACAUUGGGACUGAGACACGGCCCAAACUCCUACGGGAGGCAGCAGUGGGGAAUAUUGCACAAUGGGGGAAACCCUGAUGCAGCGACGCCGCGUGAGCGAAGAAGUAUUUCGGUAUGUAAAGCUCUAUCAGCAGGGAAGAAAAUGACGGUACCUGACUAAGAAGCACCGGCUAAAUACGUGCCAGCAGCCGCGGUAAUACGUAUGGUGCAAGCGUUAUCCGAAUUUACUGGGUGUAAAGGGAGCGUAGACGGAUGGGCAAGUCUGAUGUGAAAACCCGGGGCUCAACCCCGGGACUGCAUUGGAAACUGUUCAUCUAGAGUGCUGGAGAGGUAAGUGGAAUUCCUAGUGUAGCGGUGAAAUGCGUAGAUAUUAGGAGGAACACCAGUGGCGAAGGCGGCUUACUGGACAGUAACUGACGUUGAGGCUCGAAAGCGUGGGGAGCAAACAGG